GAUGAACGCUGGCGGCGUGCUUAACACAUGCAAGUCGAACGGAAAGGCCGAAGCUUUCUUCGGUACUCGAGUGGCGAACGGGUGAGUAACACGUGGGUGAUCUGCCCUGUACUUCGGGAUAAGCUUGGGAAACUGGGUCUAAUACCGGAUAUGACGAUCUCUUGGAUGGGGGUGUGGAAAGCUUUUGCGGUGUUGGGUGAGCUCUCGGCGUAUCAGCGUGUUUGGGGGGUGAUGGGGUAUCCAGGCGUCGACGGGUAGCGGGGCUGAGAGGGUGUACGGGGACACUGGGAGACAGAGACGGGCCAGAGUCCUACGGGGGGGAGAACUGGGGAAUAUUGCACACUAGGGGCAAGCCUGAUGCAGAGAAGCCGCGUGGGGGAUAACGGGGUUCGGGUUGUAAACUCCUUUCGCACUCGUCGCAGACUUUUGGUGACGGUAGGUUGAGAAGAAGCACCGGCUAACUACGUG
This 468-nucleotide ribosomal RNA is filed under the name uncultured bacterium. RNAcentral describes it as "partial 16S ribosomal RNA". It matches the Rfam family "Bacterial small subunit ribosomal RNA", at positions 28 to 507 of the family's 1533-position model. The record is from RNAcentral.